UUAAUUGAAGCCAAAGGCAUAUUAUUGUUAAUAAUACAUUUGAAAAUUUAAACUUUUCCAAUUAAA
Molecule: transfer RNA, 66 nt
Filed under: Metallus mai
Lineage: Eukaryota; Metazoa; Arthropoda; Insecta; Hymenoptera; Tenthredinidae
Description: tRNA-Asn
Source: RNAcentral